AGAAUCAACGCUGGCGGCGUGCCUAACACAUGCAAGUCGAACGAGAAAGUGGAGCAAUCCAUGAGUAAAGUGGCGCACGGGUGAGUAACACGUGACUAACCUACCCUCGAGUGGGGAAUAACUUCGGGAAACCGAGGCUAAUACCGCAUAAAACCUAAGGGUCAAAGGAGCAAUCCGUUUGAGGAGGGGGUCGCGGCAGAUUAGUUAGUUGGCGGGGUAAUGGCCCACCAAGACGAUGAUCUGUAUCCGGCCUGAGAGGGCGCACGGACACACUGGAACUGAAACACGGUCCAGACUCCUACGGGAGGCAGCAGUGGGGAAUUUUGCGCAAUGGGGGAAACCCUGACGCAGCAACGCCGCGUGGAGGAUGAAAUCCCUUGGGAUGUAAACUCUUUCGAUCGGGAAGAUAAUGACGGUACCGGAAGAAGAAGCCCGGCUAACUUCGCGCCAGCAGCCGC
RNAcentral lists this ribosomal RNA (458 nucleotides) under uncultured bacterium. RNAcentral's name for it is "SSU rRNA". It matches the Rfam family "Bacterial small subunit ribosomal RNA", at positions 26 to 518 of the family's 1533-position model. The record is from RNAcentral.